UUACUAGCAUCAAACCAAAAUGGCAUACCAUUAAAUAAAUUUACAAAACAUCAAUACAUGUUCAAUGAUAUAUUUAUACAAAGCCAUUAAAUGUAAAUAUGAUUUGUUCGUACACAUUCAAUGAAACAUCUCAUAUCGAACUCAUAGACACAGUUAUUGCUCCACCACAUAAGGUAUUUGACACACUUAUUUGUACACAUCAAAACCACCCUUGAAGCACCCCAAAGGAGGAUCAGCACCAUCCAGGGCAUGAUGCUUGACCUGAACAAAUGAAGGGCAAUUGGAAUCAAAUCUCCAUGCAAAUAAGGAUGAACAAAUAGCCCAAAAACAUAAUUGAACAUAUUAAUUUCACAAGCAGAAUACAUUCAUAUUUCAAUGUUAAGUCCUGCAUCAGAUCUCCUUGUCACAGUUAAAAUACUGAUUCAAGUAUAAAGUAAGCGAAAGCCAAUUAGAAUUAUCAGUUUUGACAAAUACCCACAUCUCAAACAAGAUAACAGAGACUUAAUUUUGCCCUGAACUAGGAGCAGAUCCUCAAAAACGUGAUCAUAGCAUAGCUGCCUCGGUUUAAAAAAAAAAUAGAUUUUGCUGCUAACAGGCCACAGUCUAUCUCAAAGAUUUAGUUAGCAUUGCUCAAAUCUAAGCACACAUUGGUGCAUGCCUAGUGACAUCAGAUCAAAACAGCUCAAAUAUUUGGUCAAUCAAAUGGAAUAACUUAUUAUUGGACUGCAAGGUCAUAGCAUUGCUUACUCUAGAUAAUGGUGUCAUUGUAGUAUGCUAUAAAUAAAUUAGCUAAAAAAAGUGCUGAUACCAAUCUUUGUGACAAAAAUAAAUAAACCUACUUACACUUAUACAAUUUGCAGACUGGGUGGAACAAGUCAGUCCACCAUCAAUCACCAAUAGUAAAAAUAAUAAGAUAUCAACACUAUCAAUCUUGUGGUCAAAAAGGUUAUCUGCUUGAUACAAUCCUGAGCAGAUUUCCCUUGGCCUUCAACCUGACAACCUGUAACUGGUUCAGAGAAUUAAUUUAUUAUUUGCCUUACAUGUAAACUUGAUUAUAGUAAAAAGGAUUGACCAGUGUCGCAUUGUUAGAAGAAUCCACUAUAAGAUAGGACAGAUAAUGACUGAGUAGUUAUUGCUAGUGCAAAGAUGGAGGGGGCAGCAGGAUUAACCGUCUACCGAUAGAGAGGUCUUGUGGAAUAGAUGGCUGCUACCUCUUAUGGAGUAGAUUGAAACAUAAGGGGAUAAAACAUCAAGUACCACACAAUGCUACAGAUAUAUCCAAGCACAUCUUUGAAUAACAAUUUUUAUAAUAAAGAAGAAUUAGUGGAAUUCCUAAUAGGAUAAAGUAGAGCAUUAUCUACUUUAAUCAUAUCAGCAUAUCAUACCUGCAACUUUGUUUAAUGCAAGUGUUCAUUGUCGCUAGUCCAUCUGGCCAAACAGAGCAAAUAAAAAUGUAGGGAUCAAACUGCAAACUAAUUAGCUUUCAAUUUGAGAUCCAAUUUUACUUCGAACCACUUACCACUUCUACACGAUGGGCAUCGGAGAUGGAAAGGUCCUGCAGGGCUGUUGUGUCCAGUGAAUGCCUUCAUAUUGACUAAAAAUUGGUUAGCAAUAUAUUGUUUACAAAAUUGGUUAGCCUAGUGCGACGGAAAAACUGGUUAGCAAUAGACCUUCAUAUUAACUAAAAUUGGAGAGUAAUAUUAUCAUGAUAGCAACAGACCUAAAUAGGAGAAUAAAUGAAAAUAGAAAUAUGAAAUCACACAUAUAUAAUAAUGAAUUAAAUGAAAACACUUACAUGAGCAUAGCAAGUCUAUCUUGCAGCCAAAACACUGAUGGAUACAAAUUGACAGCCUAUAUAACACUUCAAAUCCAGCCGGGUGUAGCAAAAUAAGGUAAGACACGAGUGAGCGUGUUGCCUUAGAAAUUGAGGAGGCCGGAAUGCAGUUGGGGGGAAAUUGAGAGUAAGAGAGAUAGGACUCAGAUUGCGUCCAGCCUGGCAGCGUUAAGCAUCAUCGUUUCUUGCUCCUGGGUUAAGCCAAAUGGAGGAAGUGCGUCCAAUCGGUGGCACACGGAUGGGGGAGCUAAGCGCGACCUACCGCAGGAGGAGCAGGAUCCGUCCCCAUGGAUGCCAUUGGGUGGCUCCGCUGUGGCGCGUUCCAUGUGAGGGGAGACCACCAUGGAUGUGACCUGCUGCCCCUGCCAUCGUCAGAUGGUGGGUAAGGAGGCGCCACUUCCCCAUGCUGCUUGAUAUUGGAGCCGCCGCCACUGCCAUCGGGUUGUGGAAGAGGAGGUGUCGCCGUCGGGUGAAGCGAUGGAGAGGUAGGAGGUGCGCCUCUGGUGGUGAAGCAGAUGAUGUUGGCGCUCGCUGAGUGGAGGAGCUCUCUUGAGGGCCGGACAAGGGAGGAGGAAAGCGGGAUCGGCCGGCGUGUUUGGGGAGCUGCCGCUGCACUAGUCUAGUCUAGGGUUCGAGGCAGUUCGGUGGAUGAGAACGAGGGUGCCAGCUGGUGGGAUGCUAC
Molecule: long non-coding RNA, 2516 nt
Filed under: Sorghum bicolor (sorghum)
Lineage: Eukaryota; Viridiplantae; Streptophyta; Magnoliopsida; Poales; Poaceae
Description: long non-coding RNA (SBIC_LNC017255)
Source: RNAcentral